This 1489-nucleotide ribosomal RNA is filed under the name Lactiplantibacillus argentoratensis. RNAcentral's name for it is "bacterial SSU rRNA". It matches the Rfam family "Bacterial small subunit ribosomal RNA". The record is from RNAcentral. Lineage: Bacteria; Bacillati; Bacillota; Bacilli; Lactobacillales; Lactobacillaceae.
GACGAACGCUGGCGGCGUGCCUAAUACAUGCAAGUCGAACGAACUCUGGUAUUGAUUGGUGCUUGCAUCAUGAUUUACAUUUGAGUGAGUGGCGAACUGGUGAGUAACACGUGGGAAACCUGCCCAGAAGCGGGGGAUAACACCUGGAAACAGAUGCUAAUACCGCAUAACAACUUGGACCGCAUGGUCCGAGCUUGAAAGAUGGCUUCGGCUAUCACUUUUGGAUGGUCCCGCGGCGUAUUAGCUAGAUGGUGGGGUAACGGCUCACCAUGGCAAUGAUACGUAGCCGACCUGAGAGGGUAAUCGGCCACAUUGGGACUGAGACACGGCCCAAACUCCUACGGGAGGCAGCAGUAGGGAAUCUUCCACAAUGGACGAAAGUCUGAUGGAGCAACGCCGCGUGAGUGAAGAAGGGUUUCGGCUCGUAAAACUCUGUUGUUAAAGAAGAACAUAUCUGAGAGUAACUGUUCAGGUAUUGACGGUAUUUAACCAGAAAGCCACGGCUAACUACGUGCCAGCAGCCGCGGUAAUACGUAGGUGGCAAGCGUUGUCCGGAUUUAUUGGGCGUAAAGCGAGCGCAGGCGGUUUUUUAAGUCUGAUGUGAAAGCCUUCGGCUCAACCGAAGAAGUGCAUCGGAAACUGGGAAACUUGAGUGCAGAAGAGGACAGUGGAACUCCAUGUGUAGCGGUGAAAUGCGUAGAUAUAUGGAAGAACACCAGUGGCGAAGGCGGCUGUCUGGUCUGUAACUGACGCUGAGGCUCGAAAGUAUGGGUAGCAAACAGGAUUAGAUACCCUGGUAGUCCAUACCGUAAACGAUGAAUGCUAAGUGUUGGAGGGUUUCCGCCCUUCAGUGCUGCAGCUAACGCAUUAAGCAUUCCGCCUGGGGAGUACGGCCGCAAGGCUGAAACUCAAAGGAAUUGACGGGGGCCCGCACAAGCGGUGGAGCAUGUGGUUUAAUUCGAAGCUACGCGAAGAACCUUACCAGGUCUUGACAUACUAUGCAAAUCUAAGAGAUUAGACGUUCCCUUCGGGGACAUGGAUACAGGUGGUGCAUGGUUGUCGUCAGCUCGUGUCGUGAGAUGUUGGGUUAAGUCCCGCAACGAGCGCAACCCUUAUUAUCAGUCGCCAGCAUUAAGUUGGGCACUCUGGUGAGACUGCCGGUGACAAACCGGAGGAAGGUGGGGAUGACGUCAAAUCAUCAUGCCCCUUAUGACCUGGGCUACACACGUGCUACAAUGGAUGGUACAACGAGUUGCGAACUCGCGAGAGUAAGCUAAUCUCUUAAAGCCAUUCUCAGUUCGGAUUGUAGGCUGCAACUCGCCUACAUGAAGUCGGAAUCGCUAGUAAUCGCGGAUCAGCAUGCCGCGGUGAAUACGUUCCCGGGCCCUGUACACACCGCCCGUCACACCAUGAGAGUUUGUAACACCCAAAGUCGGUGGGGUAACCUUUUAGGAACCAGCCGCCUAAGGUGGGACAGAUGAUUAGGGUG